RNAcentral lists this ribosomal RNA (867 nucleotides) under uncultured bacterium. RNAcentral's name for it is "bacterial SSU rRNA". It matches the Rfam family "Bacterial small subunit ribosomal RNA", at positions 617 to 1501 of the family's 1533-position model. The record is from RNAcentral.
GGGGCUGCGGGAGAGAUGGGCAGGCUAGAGAUCGGAAGAGGCAAGUGGAAUUGCUGGUGUAGGGGUUAAAUCCGUUAAUAUCAGCAGGAACACCAAAUGUGAAGACAACUUGCUAGGACAGAUUCUGACGCUGAACUGCGAAAGCGUGGGGAGCGAAUGGGAUUAGAUACCCCAGUAGUCCACGCCCUAAACGAUGGAUGCUAAGCAUUGGAAGUAUCGACCCUUUCAGUGCUGUUCACCUAAGAUAACUCGUUAAGCAUCCCGCCUGGGGAGUACGGUCGCAAGACUAAAACUCAAAGGAAUAGACGGGGACCCGCACAAGCGGUGGAGCAUGUGGUUUAAUUCGACGAUAAGCGAGGAACCUCACCAAGGUUUGACAUACGGCUGCAGACUCCCGAGAAACGGGAGAGCCUUCGAGGGUGCCGUACAGAUGCUGCAUGGUUGUCGUCAGCUCGUGUCGUGAGAUGUACCGUUAAGUCGGGAAACGAGCGCAACCCCUAUUCUGUGUUUUAUAUGUCACAGAAAACUGCCCGUUUUAAAUGGGAGGAAGGCGGGGAUGACGUCAAAUCAGCAUGGUUCUUACACCUUGGGCGACACACGUGCUACAAUGGGAAAUACAACGGGACGCCAAAGCGCAAGCUGGAGCUAACCCCUUAAAACUUCCCUCAGUUCGGAUUGAGGUCUGCAACUCGACCUCAUGAAGCUGGAAUCGCUAGUAAACGCGUAUCAGCCACGGCGCGUUGAAUACGUUCUCGGGUCUUGUACUCACCGCCCGUCACGCCAAGAGAGUCGGUAACACCCAAAACCCCUGCCUAGCAGGGUCUAAGGUGGGACUGAUGAUAGGGGCGAAGUCGUAACAAGGUAACC